This 373-nucleotide ribosomal RNA is filed under the name uncultured organism. Its description in RNAcentral is "bacterial SSU rRNA". It matches the Rfam family "Bacterial small subunit ribosomal RNA", at positions 526 to 896 of the family's 1533-position model. The record is from RNAcentral.
CGUAGGGUGCAAGCGUUGUCCGGAAUUAUUGGGCGUAAAGAGCUCGUAGGCGGUUCGUCGCGUCGGCUGUGAAAACCCGGAGCUCAACCCCGGGCCUGCAGUCGAUACGGGCGGACUUGAGUGUUGCAGGGGAGACUGGAAUUCCUGGUGUAGCGGUGAAAUGCGCAGAUAUCAGGAGGGACACCGGUGGCGAAGGCGGGUCUCUGGGCAACUACUGACGCUGAGGAGCGAAAGCGUGGGGAGCGAACAGGAUUAGAUACCCUGGUAGUCCACGCCGUAAACGUUGGGCGCUAGGUGUGGGGGCCAUUCCACGGUCUCCGUGCCGCAGCUAACGCAUUAAGCGCCCCGCCUGGGGAGUACGGCCGCAAGGCUA